UGGGGAAUAUUGGACAAUGGGCGCAAGCCUGAUCCAGCAUGCCGCGUGAGUGAUGAAGGCCCUAGGGUUGUAAAGCUCUUUCACCGGUGAAGAUAAUGACGGUAACCGGAGAAGAAGCCCCGGCUAACUUCGUGCCAGCAGCCGCGGUAAUACGAAGGGGGCUAGCGUUGUUCGGAUUUACUGGGCGUAAAGCGCACGUAGGCGGACUUUUAAGUCAGGGGUGAAAUCCCGGGGCUCAACCCCGGAACUGCCUUUGAUACUGGAAGUCUUGAGUAUGGUAGAGGUGAGUGGAAUUCCGAGUGUAGAGGUGAAAUUCGUAGAUAUUCGGAGGAACACCAGUGGCGAAGGCGGCUCACUGGACCAUUACUGACGCUGAGGUGCGAAAGCGUGGGGAGCAAACAGG
This 403-nucleotide ribosomal RNA is filed under the name Actinomycetes bacterium. RNAcentral describes it as "Actinobacteria bacterium partial 16S ribosomal RNA". It matches the Rfam family "Bacterial small subunit ribosomal RNA", at positions 355 to 776 of the family's 1533-position model. The record is from RNAcentral. Lineage: Bacteria; Bacillati; Actinomycetota; Actinomycetes.